Molecule: ribosomal RNA, 1496 nt
Filed under: uncultured bacterium
Lineage: Bacteria
Description: partial 16S ribosomal RNA
Rfam family: Bacterial small subunit ribosomal RNA
Source: RNAcentral
GAGUUUGAUCCUGGCUCAGAUUGAACGCUGGCGGCAGGCCUAACACAUGCAAGUCGAGCGGUAGAGAGGUGCUUGCAUCUCCUGAGAGCGGCGGACGGGUGAGUAAUGCCUAGGAAUCUGCCUAGUGGUGGGGGAUAACGUUCGGAAACGGACGCUAAUACCGCAUACGUCCUACGGGAGAAAGCGGGGGAUCUUCGGACCUCGCGCCAUUAGAUGAGCCUAGGUCGGAUUAGCUAGUUGGUGAGGUAAUGGCUCACCAAGGCGACGAUCCGUAACUGGUCUGAGAGGAUGAUCAGUCACACUGGAACUGAGACACGGUCCAGACUCCUACGGGAGGCAGCAGUGGGGAAUUUUGGACAAUGGGCGCAAGCCUGAUCCAGCCAUGCCGCGUGAGUGAAGAAGGCCUUCGGGUUGUAAAGCUCUUUCAGCCGGAAAGAAAUCAUGCUUACUAAUACUAAGUGUGGAUGACGGUACCGGAAGAAGAAGCACCGGCUAACUACGUGCCAGCAGCCGCGGUAAUACGUAGGGUGCGAGCGUUAAUCGGAAUUACUGGGCGUAAAGCGUGCGCAGGCGGUUCCGUAAGACAGAUGUGAAAUCCCCGGGCUUAACCUGGGAACUGCAUUUGUGACUGCGAGACUAGAGUGUAGCAGAGGGGGGUAGAAUUCCACGUGUAGCAGUGAAAUGCGUAGAUAUGUGGAGGAAUACCGAUGGCGAAGGCAGCCCCCUGGGCUAACACUGACGCUCAUGCACGAAAGCGUGGGGAGCAAACAGGAUUAGAUACCCUGGUAGUCCACGCCCUAAACGAUGUCAACUAGGUGUUGGGAGGGUUAAACCUCUUAGUGCCGUAGCUAACGCGUGAAGUAGACCGCCUGGGGAGUACGGUCGCAAGAUUAAAACUCAAAGGGAUUGACGGGGACCCGCACAAGCGGUGGAUGAUGUGGAUUAAUUCGAUGCAACGCGAAAAACCUUACCUACCCUUGACAUGUACAGAAUGCCGAAGAGAUUUGGCGGUGCUCGCAAGAGAACUGUAACACAGGUGCUGCAUGGCUGUCGUCAGCUCGUGUCGUGAGAUGUUGGGUUAAGUCCCGCAACGAGCGCAACCCUUGUCAUUAGUUGCUACGAAAGGGCACUCUAAUGAGACUGCCGGUGACAAACCGGAGGAAGGUGGGGAUGACGUCAAGUCCUCAUGGCCCUUAUGGGUAGGGCUUCACACGUCAUACAAUGGUACAUACAGAGGGCCGCCAACCCGCGAGGGGGAGCUAAUCCCAGAAAGUGUAUCGUAGUCCGGAUUGUAGUCUGCAACUCGACUACAUGAAGUUGGAAUCGCUAGUAAUCGCGGAUCAGCAUGUCGCGGUGAAUACGUUCCCGGGUCUUGUACACACCGCCCGUCACACCAUGGGAGUGGAAUCUGGCAGAAGUAGGUAGCCUAACCGCAAGGGGGGCGCUUACCACGCUGGGUUUCAUGACUGGGGUGAAGUCGUAACAAGGUAACCGUA